Molecule: ribosomal RNA, 52 nt
Filed under: Escherichia coli 6-537-08_S4_C1
Lineage: Bacteria; Pseudomonadati; Pseudomonadota; Gammaproteobacteria; Enterobacterales; Enterobacteriaceae
Description: partial 16S ribosomal RNA
Source: RNAcentral
AGAGUUUGAUCAUGGCUCAGAUUGAACGCUGGCGGCAGGCCUAACACAUGCA